This 37-nucleotide small RNA is filed under the name Romboutsia ilealis. Its description in RNAcentral is "CRISPR spacer". The record is from RNAcentral. Lineage: Bacteria; Bacillati; Bacillota; Clostridia; Peptostreptococcales; Peptostreptococcaceae.
CUAAAUAUCCAUCUCCAACUUGCACCUAAAUCUCUUA